Molecule: long non-coding RNA, 2254 nt
Organism: Triticum aestivum (bread wheat)
Lineage: Eukaryota; Viridiplantae; Streptophyta; Magnoliopsida; Poales; Poaceae
Exons: 3
Source: RefSeq, a predicted model, not a curated record
UUAGUACCGGUUCGUGGCAGCAACCGGGACUAAAGGGUUAGACCUUUAGUCCCGGUUCGUGCCACGAACCGGUACUAAUGGGGUUUGCGGCAUUAGUACCGGUUCAUGGCACGAACCCGCCCUCAUGGAGUACUAAAUCAAGAUGAGCCGAGAGAAGGUAAAAAUCUAAUUUUUCAGUGUUGUAGUAGCAGUGCCAAGUACUUGACUGAAAAAUAAACUUGUGGAUUGAGCAGCAUCUUUCACCAGGAGAAUCACAAGAUCACGCUUGUAAACUACUGAAUUAGGAGAUAAAGACUGAAAUUUAUGUUGAUAUUUGUACAUGAGACAGCUCCUAAUCCUGUGAUAAUCACUACUAGCUAGUACAGACCAUUGCUAGUUUGUACGGGACCAGCGUCAUGAGAGGAAUGGCAUACUACAGCGCCUUAUAGAGAGUACUAGAUUGUGGUACUGCACAAUUUUCGUUCUAGUUGAAAAUUGUAAAUCAUCAAAGGAGUGGCUGCCUUUGUAUCACAUCAGUAUUAAGGCAGCUCAUAGCACCAUCUGAACUUUUCUAUAUGUUUGGUCAUACUCAUUUACUUACUGUAAUGGUAAACAUCAAAGGAGUGGCUACCAUUGUGUCGCACGCACCAGUGUUAAAUGCUCGGACUGUGAGAAAUUUUAUUUCUUAUUAUACUUUCAUAUGUGAACUUAUACUUGUCAGCAUCCAUAUUAUUUGUAAGUGCCAGCCUCACUAGUCGCACACUAUGUAAUGCAACUUUGGCAAACUUAUAUGAAACUUUGAAGUAUAGUUGGCUUGGUAAAAGGGAAAUGCUAAAAUACAACUUCCAGACAUUGUUGAUGUAUGCCCCUGAACCUAAAAAUUGUAUAUUGAUGACAAUGAUUUGAGGUCUGAUUUUCCUAGUUUUUAGUUCAUCUAGAUCAGGAGCAAAGCUGAACAUUCAGGAACUAUAAGAGAUCUAAGCUUUGCUAUGGCUCUUUAUCAAGAUAUGGUUUUUACCUGUGUUCAGCAAUAGCUACUAUGUUGGUUCAAUCUGAAUUUAUUCUCCAUUAUAUUUCCUUCUUCCGAUCUUUAAUUCUCUUGUUAUCCAGUAAAAUAACAGUUUGUUCUCUAACUUGUCUAUCCAAUACAAAAACAUGAGUUACAUUCAAAGUACAGGGAACAUCAUUAGUGCAACAAAGAGGUUGCAGCAAAAAGUCGAGGUUAUCACUUGGAAAGAAGAAAUUGUAUAAUAUUCUUCCAAAUGAAGAAGAGUUCAUCUAGAUUUGGAGCAAAAUACAAGAUUCGUGAUCUAAAAGAGAUGUAAGAGCCCUUACUCUAGUAGAGAAAGCAUGGAGCGGUAGCAUGGCAGGCACAAGGAACAUCAUGAAGACAAAGACAGAGAGCUUUCAACAAUAACAUGAGGUUAUCUAUCAAGGCAAGAAACUGUACCAUAUUAUUUUGAAAUCAAAUAACUGAUUGAUACUGUAAUUUGAGCUUGACUUGCAAGAAACCUCUAAUGCAGCAAACCAGAAAAAUAGGGACUAGCCCGUGUGGCAUUUGUAUUAAGAAGGAAACACCCUAGGCACACAAGAAACCUCUAAUAACUUAUGUACUCAAGCUGUUGUAGAUAGUCCUGUCAUAUUAACCUAGAAGCGCAUGCUCAAGUUUUUAGUAUAAUUGAUUUUUUUCAGUUGUGUUUGUAUCAAAUUUUAUAUAGGGUUCUAGAACAAAUCACUCAAUUAUUUUGUCAAAUUCGUUAAGUUCAGUUGAAAAAAACAACAACUUAGGUAUUAUACCCAUGCUAAUGUGAGAAACUGAAAUAACAAAUAGGUUAUUGUAGCAAAACUUAAGAACAUUUUGAAAAAAAUAGGUAGUAUUCCUGAAACUGAGAUAACAAAUAGGUUAUUGUAGCAAAAUUGAAGAACAUCUUGAAGAAAUAGGUAUUAUUCCUGUUACUUGUUAUCUUACUGUAGCAAAUCAUUGACACUUGCACAUUUUACAAGUUCAAUCAUGUCCAGUGCAGGGUAUCCUUGGAGAACAUCUUGCAACCAAAGCUGUAGCAGAACCUUGUAGAAAAUGAGGUCUCGAAUUUUGAAUAUUUGGUUGAUGCACCAGUGCCUUUGGUCUCUGUUUUUGUUGACCAUUGAUCCCUGUAUAUAACUUCUAUGCAAUUUGAUCAGAAGUUAUGUGAAUUCGCAACUCUGUGAUUAAUGUAAACUAUUGAUGUGUCUAUGCUUUGAAUAUUUUGAGUGGAACAACCAUGUGGAAAACCAU